GCCAGGAUAGCUCAGCUGGUAGAGCAGAGGACUGAAAAUC
RNAcentral lists this transfer RNA (40 nucleotides) under Manaosella cordifolia. RNAcentral's name for it is "partial tRNA-Phe". The record is from RNAcentral. RNAcentral also lists the same sequence under 3 other names. Lineage: Eukaryota; Viridiplantae; Streptophyta; Magnoliopsida; Lamiales; Bignoniaceae.